Molecule: ribosomal RNA, 436 nt
Filed under: uncultured fungus
Lineage: Eukaryota; Fungi
Description: eukaryotic LSU rRNA
Rfam family: 5.8S ribosomal RNA (bases 21-177)
Source: RNAcentral
CGUCAUGUAUAAUGAAAUACAACUUUCAACAACGGAUCUCUUGGUUCUCGCAUCGAUGAAGAACGCAGCGAAUUGCGAUAUGUAAUGUGAAUUGCAGAAUUCAGUGAAUCAUCGAAUCUUUGAACGCACAUUGCACCCUUCUGGUUUUUUCCGAAGGGUAUGCCUGUUUGAGUGUCAUGAAUCUAUCAACGUAGUCAAGCUUUGCCUUGCUAUGAUUGCAUGAAUGAAGGUUGCUGGAAAUCUUGUCAGCUCCUUUUAAAUCGAUUAGCGGAAAAUGCUUUCAGCUCUGGUUUGAUAAAUUUUUCUAUGCCUUUGCUGAUGCUAUCAUCUUUCGCUUCUAAUUGUCCGUUUGGACUGUCUUCCAAAGACACGUCUUGAUUUUGACCUCAAAUCAGGUAGGACUACCCGCUGAACUUAAGCAUAUCAAUAAGCGGAG